UUUAAUAAGAAAUACAUCAUAUCCACAACUUUGUAUUGAGAUUUUUCAAAGGAAUAAAUGAAUUGACAAUAUGAUACUAGUGUGUAAACCAAAACCAUACAAAGAACGGCCAACAAGAGCACAAACGUGUAAAACCCUCACAAUGGUCCAAAUAAGAGGAUAUGAGCUCUUCAACAAAAGAAUCAAAGGAGGAAGAUACAUGCUCAACACUGCAACUCCUCGGGACAAGGCUCUUCCCGAGAGUGUUUCAUCCUUCCACCACAUUUGCAUCCAGUGGCAAGCCCAUGUGGGUUAGAUUGUAGAGUGCAUCCUUGUUGCUAUCACCACAACAUCACAUCAUUGGAUACCAACAUGUGUCGGCUUACUUCCUGAUCAUGCCCAUGAAAAAAACAGAAUAAUUGAGAUGUCUUGGGGAAAAACUCAUUGUCUUAGCAUGUUUAGUCGCUAGCUAGGUAUCUAGUCCAUGUUCCAUGCUUAAUUCUACAAUUUACUUGGUCAAGCUUUAUUUAUUGCACCAACCUCGCCAUUAUCAAUCUAUAGUAGAUCCAACCUCGAUCACAUAGUGACACUUGACCAAGAUUCGUUGUGAACUACUUUUGUUGGACAAGAAUCAUAUAUUAUGUUUAUUCAAAAACUUUAGGUAAGGUGACCACGUGAGGUGGGGUGCAUAUAUGUGGGUGGCUUCAUUAUAACUCUCCCAUUCAUUUAUGAAACAUACUCCCCUUCUUUUUCUUCUUUUUCUCCGGACUUAUCAACAUUUAGCCAUUGCCCAAAUCGCUAGAUCUUCUAGGUCUACCCAAAGUCAGACGUCUGAAGCCAUGCAAGUCCUCAUAAUCAUCCAUAUUUAUUGCUACUUUAUAAUCAAUAAAGUAUGGUACCUGCGAGGGGUGGGAAAAGUUAUACUAGUGUCGAACCAAUAAUCAGGAAAAGGCCAUUUGAAGCACAUGUAUAAACAUUACUAUGCUUAGUGGGGGGUUGAAUAGACUAGCUAGUGACUCGUUUCCAAUAUUAAGUUUAUGGUAGUUUUUAGCUUUUAUAUCUCUAGCCUACAAACACCCUACACAAGCAAUUCUACAAGAGUAUACCAGCGGAAGACAUUAAAGUGUAUAUGUAAAGAGUAAAGGUUAGGAGAAUGUAGACACGUGGAGGCUCGACGAAGAUUUUUUUUUCCAUGGUUCGGGUAGUUGGCGCUAUUAUACUCAACGUUGAUGAAGACUUUGGACACGAAGGUUCUAGGAUCACUUAAGAUUCUGUUUGCAAGAUCCAAGGAGGUCUACACCCAUGAAGGGUCCAUAAUGGAGCAACCAACAUGUGCCAAGCUUGCAUACGACCACAAAGGUCUAGCCUCAGUUGGAGUAGAUCUUCACAAAAUAGGCGAUCUUCGGGACCAAACAAACUUCUUGGUUCCUUUGCACCAUGAAGGCUCCCAAGAACACAUGGUCGGUCUAAGAGGCGCAGACCCUCCAAAAGUAAUAAGAUUGAGGUUGCUUGGUGAUGAACCUCUUAUUUUUGUGCUUCAAAAGAUAAUCUCACACUCAAAACUCGAGAUGGGGCUUUGGAUUGGAAAGUUGGAGCGGAAAGAAAGGAGGGUGAUUAGAGCUCAACAGAGUGGCUUGAAAAGUUGGUGUAGAAAUCCCUUUGAACUCAGCAUGAGGAGUAGUUGUUCUCUCUCAAGUGAAAUUAUGGUAUCAGUGGGGUAUGUGUGUAGGUUGGACGCAAAAAUGUGAUUGUCGGGCGCUUUUUAGCAAAGCUCGGAGGCUCCAAAUGACCAGCUCAGAAUCAUUGAAUAAAACUAGAAGAUGUAACUUCCAAAUAGUUCUUAGGGACCGUUCUAAAGUCGUUCAGAGGCUCCGAUCGACCAAUGGCUCACCUACACAUGCUUCUGGAAGACGUUUGAAAAUUCUGAUCGAAAACAUUCACACAUUUCCAUGGUGGGUUGGAUUGAGAGCGCAUAACUAAUUAAGAUUUUGUGGCUACGCAUAGAUCUUGCAUGUGAAUAAUUUGGGAGAUCGGUCAAGGUUACUUAAACCGCCUUAAAAUCUAUCUAACCAUCCUUGCUCAAUUUUACUUUUCAUGUCCCAUGAGCGUAGCUGGUGCACAUUCAAUGUUUUUAAAGCAUUAAAGAGAAACGUCACCUACAUAUAUAUUGUACCAAAAGUAAUUAUCAAUCUUACGCGUCAUUGGACUACAAACCUCCAUAGCCUCAGGAGUGAAACGGCAUACGUGGGAAAUGAAACACGAGCCAAGAUAAGGGUAUGAAUUAGGUAUACCAUGAUAUUAACAAUUAAAAUUUCUCAAAAUAAAUCCACAUGAAAACCAAUAAAUCGAACCGGAAGAAAUUGGGCAACUAUGUAUGGUCGAUGGAGAACUUGAGGAUGGGGGUUUCGGUUCUCCGUCCCUUGGUGUGGUGGUGAAAUGGAGACUACGUAUAUCUUGAUGGCAAGAGUUCUAUAUGUUAUAUUUUAUAUCUCAAUGCAGAGAGAGACAAAUAUGAAGCAUUGGGGCACACACCAAGGUGUGAUCCUUGUAUAGUUGAACCAUGACAACCAACUGGACCAUACAAGGACUCUUUAGUUGGUGUUCCUGAUGCACCUCUUGCGACAUUCUUCUUCUUCACUUCCCUUUCUUGGUGAAUUUAUUGAGUCGUGUCUUCAUGAGACAUCAAUUGUUGACAUCUUAGGAAUGAAUGUACAUCAAGACUUAUGGUAUAUAUACAGUAAUAAAAAUAUAGAUAAGGUGCAAAAUCGCACAUGCAAAUAUGUAAGAAAAAUGCAUGCGCCAACAUCCACCUACAUGAUUCAUUGAAAGACCUUGCUUAUCCAUUCAUCUUCCUCACCACUAACUAGCUAAAUAAUAUUUUGGUACCAUUUCUGACAAUAUAAUUGGCAAUUCCUCAUACGCACACAUUGCAACACCGUCGAUAGUAGUCCAAGUAAAUUUAAUCUCAAUUCCAUCUAGUAAUUGCAUUUACGAGCUUCUCCCUAUAAUGAUGAGCUAAGCCCCCUACAUUGUUUCUCUAUAAUCCUCUGUUCUUUCCUUCACUUAAAAUGGUGUCUUCUUCAAUUGGGUUUAGCUCACCGGCCAACUAACACCACAUUCCGGCCAGCCCUGGAAGCCUAAUAUCAAUGAAAAUCGUCAAUAAAAUGGAAGUUCACUUAUCUCUAGUCGUCGCCUUCUUACGAACAUAUCAAUCGUGUCACUCUUGAACCCUGGUGCCACCACUUUUUCUCUAGCAAAGAUCUAAAAAAAUCUACUUCAUUGUAAAGUGGGUAAGACUUCGACUUUGUUGGAAUAUACGGGAGUAGGAAUACAACUCACUCUACUUAGAUGACAAUCCUAAAAAUAUACACAAGUGCACCUCACUAAGCAAAAUAUGUUCUGCAUUAUUCAAGGUCGUCGAUUUAACAUCCCAUGUUUCUGAGCCUGAGAUACAAUAUUCAUUCAAUUAUGUUCAUACGUGUGUGUUCUUAUAUAUGUGCAUGUACAUCCUUCAAUUGUAGUGUAUCCCACCCAAAAUAUUUUAAUGAGGAAACAAUUCAUUUAGAAAACUACAUAUUGUUUAUAUUUGAUAAAGAAUAUCCAUAAAAGCUUGUGAAUCAAAAGUUGUUUUGGUCAAGUUUUAAUGGCUUACGGGGUUAAGAUAAAUAUUCUACAAAACAUAAUAUAAUUUAGCUCUAGCAACUUAAGUGAUCUAAAACCACAACAACUUAGGUGCUCAAGUGAACUCUAUGCAGCUUGGAUUCAAGACAAUGGCAAGAAAACAAGGAAAGGGUCUAUUUUACUCAUGCUUCAUAAGUGUUGCAUUUGUAUGAAUAAUCCAUCGUAGUGUUAUCUUCUCGGUCUUUUCGGACUCUUAGGGCUUCAAAAACCAAAUCACUUAACCCCGAGUUAGGUUAAUGUUUUAAGGCAUAUUACCCAUGUGUCAUUCAUUAACCAACUGUUGAUGUGUUAUUCCAUAUGUAGGAACUCUCACAUAUCUUUUCUUCCCCAUGUCACCUUAAUGUCUUCAUCUUGUUUUCCUUCACUUCUAUCCUCUCACACAUUCUUAUCAAUUUCUCACGAGCAACUAUGUUCCCCUCUAGCAAUAUAUGAUACCAAAAAGAGAUUGCAUUGAGAAGCACAUCGAUGAAAAUUUGGCGCAACCAUGGUUUAAUGCAGGAUUAUAGAGAGAGACUCGAAAUGAGAGUCCUAGGGAAUUUUUGUGGUUCAUUAUGUCAUUCACUAUGUAUGAUGACAAGUGGGGAAAAUGGUGAUGCAGUAACAUGGUUACCACGUGAGUGAUACCAUCUUCAUAUCCCACAUAAGGAUUAAGUAAUAUUAUUUUACAUUUUAGGGGUUAAAUCAACCCAAUAAAUAGUUUGAGAGAUUAUCCAGAUAAAUGUGAUACUUUAAGCAAACAAAUAUACUUCUUUGAGAAUAAAUGAAGAAUUUACCACUAACAUGUGCAACGGCAAAAUGAUUUAGCCAACAUCACUUCUCAACAAAGUUCAAUCACGUGGAAUAUUUUGAUAUGUCUAUUUGAAGACAGUAGUGUAUAAUCAAUUAAGUAUGUCUAGAGGGAAUGAAUAGGCUACUAGGCAAAAGGGGAUUAUUUUCCCAAAUUUUAGUUCCCUUCAUAGUUUUAACCUUUUAUAUGGUACUCAAUCAAGCACCCUACGCAUGCAAGUCUACAAGAGUAUAGGCAACGACAUGUGAAGAUUUGCAAGAGUAAAAUAAGAGUAGAGUUAGAGAAAUGUAGACAUUGUGUGGCUGGAUGAAGAUUAUUCCCGUGAUUCGGAUGGUUGGCACUACCCUACUCCAGGUUGGUGGAGGCUUCGUCCACGAAGGAUCUAAGAUCACGAAGAUCAAGGUUGCGAGUUGCACUAAGGAACUAGCCCGUGAAGGACCAUAACCUACCAAGUGUCCACGAAGGAUCAACCAACCUAUGUCAUCAUGGCAAUACGUCCAUGAAUGAUCGAUCGGCCUCACUCGAGGUAGAUCUUCAUGAAGAAUGUGAUAUCUAGGCCGUUACAAACUUCUUGGUUUCUUCACAAUCUUGAUCCCAAGCACCUAGCUGAUCUAGAAGGUGCACACCUACAAAAAAUAAUAAGAUUGAGAUUGCUUGUUGAUGAAUCCCUUACUCUUGUGCUUUAAAAUAUGAUAUCUUCCACACACAAACUAUCUCAAGAUUUGGCUUUUGGAUUGGAGAGUAUGGGUGGGAAGCGAAGAGGUGGUUUGAUGGUUGGAGUAGAACACCCUCUGAAAUAAGCACAAGAAGUUGGAGUUCUCUCUCGAAUCGUAGGGCACGAGUGGGGUUUGCUUUGACUGAACCAAUGGGAUGGGUGGGGUAUAUAUAGGCCGGACCAAAAAUAUGAUCAUUACACAUGCUUUAAUACAACUCUGAAGCUCUGAAUAGACUUAAAGAUGCCAACUUUCAAAUGAAUGGAAUGGUCCGACUGGAUAACAUCCGGAGGAUCUGAGGUGACUACUGCAGCUAUGACACACUCUUUGUAACCACUUUGAAAAUUCUGAGCAGAUGCGUCCAAAAAUUCUAAGAUGGCAAUAGAAGGUUUUUCCAAAUUCUUUAGUGGUUCCGAGUGGAGUACUUGGCAGCUCCGAAGUGCUAGGGUUUGCAACGACUAUAUCUGGAUGAACUGCUCAGCGGUUCCGACUGGAAGAUCUUGGCAGCUCAAUGGCAUGAAGGUAGAUAUAGUGGACAAAAUUAAAGGUUUUGAGGUAAUUGGAGUUUGACCUUAAGCAGGAAAGGAUCAUUAAAUCAUCAAAAUAAGUAUUUGAGGAACUGAAUAUAAAUAAAUCAUCUAUAUGCUAAGUUUGGCAAAACUUCCCAUAAAAGUGAUAUUCAUAAGGAAACGAUAAAAUGUUUCAAGGGGUAUCUAAUAAGGAAAUUCUUGGUAUGCACAAUAAUAAUCCUAUAAUAGCACAACCUAUACCACCCACCACCUCCUACUUGUGUUUGACUACUUAUUUAUUUAUUAUGUCAAACAAAACCAUCCAAUAAAAAACUUACUUUGAGGGGGUACUUCUUUUUCAAAGCUGCAAGAACGGAAUGUUUUAAAAGAAUUCAUCAUAACUAAAAUCCCUACACAUGGUGUAGUUACGAAAUAUCCUAGUGUUUUAACAACACAAAUAACCGAACGUGAACCAAUCAGUGGUAUCCUUGACUAUAUUCUACACACUUUGGGGAAAAUAAUCUUCAUUAAAAUUUUGACAAGGGUGUUGUUUUUAUGUCUAAAAUGAAGUACAACUAUUGACACUAUUGACAUCGAGACUGGAAGGGAACUAGUGGUUUAGCCAUUUAAGUAGCUGAACUAUAGUGGACACGUUGGUCGUACCACUUGCCCUCUUGUCCUCUUCCUAGGUUUUCUAUGACCUUGUUAUAUCCUUAGAAUAAGAAUCAGUCUCGUGUGUGGUUGUCAAUGGUAAUUAUACGUAAACUCGUGCAGCACUACAGUUAAACCAUAGCAAGAUAAAAGAACAACAUGAUCCAAGUUCUUAGUGGAGCAAAAGUAAAAAAGAUAUCAAUCCAACUCACUCCCUCUCUCUCUCUAUCUANNNNNNNNNNNNNNNNNNNNNNNNNNNNNNNNNNNNNNNNNNNNNNNNNNNNNNNNNNNNNNNNNNNNNNNNNNNNNNNNNNNNNNNNNNNNNNNNNNNNNNNNNNNNNNNNNNNNNNNNNNNNNNNNNNNNNNNNNNNNNNGGGGGGGGGGGCACUCAAUUCUAGUUUGAGAAUUGUUCUUGUAAUAGCAAUCACAAGUUUAUUAGGAAGUUCUUGUAAUAUCAAUCACAAGUUUAUCAAGUAUCUUCCACAUAUGAAGGUUACACAUGCAUUUUGCGUUAUACUUUAUAAGAGUAGACAUUUUCACAUAUGUGCAUUUUGUCACUAUCUUCAAAAUAACACUCAUGCCAAUGGUGUAUAAUAUUCACAUAUCUAGUUUUAGGAACAUAUUGGCAAACUCUUUACCUGUCCAUAAUUGGUUGCGAGAAAAAAAUAUCAAAGAUAUUGGACCUUAGCCCAUGUUUUUUCAUCUCCCUAAGUUUAGAUUUCAAUAUUUCCUUUGAUCUAGACCAACCUUCUUGAUGUCUCCUCUAGUCGACAUCAUUUUUAGUGAAACCAAUUGAUAUCUACGUGUCAAUAUAACAAACACUCUCUCUUUACAAGAACAAGACUUUUAUUCCAUACGUAUGAUAUCAAGAGUAGAAAGAAGCCACACAUAGCCCCGACUUCCAAAAAGGAUGCAACUUACGCUAUAGAACAUGUGCUUUAGUGUUUAGUCCCUCUCU
Molecule: long non-coding RNA, 7278 nt
Filed under: Hordeum vulgare
Lineage: Eukaryota; Viridiplantae; Streptophyta; Magnoliopsida; Poales; Poaceae
Description: long non-coding RNA (HVUL_LNC004968)
Source: RNAcentral